GUAUCCUUCCUAGUGCUGCUUCUUGCAGCCCUUAUCCUCAUGCCUCAAGGGCUUGCUACUUACUACAAACCAAUUAAGAAGCCACCAGUGUACAAGCCUCCAGUGUACAAGCCACCAGUGUACAAACCACCGGUUUAUAAGCCAAAACCACCGGUUUACAAGCCGAAACCACCGGUUUACAAGCCACCAUAUAAGAAGCCACCAUACAAGAAACCACCUUAUGGAAAGUACCCUCCAGUAGAGGACAACACCCAUGCCUAAAGCAAGCAAUGAGGUCUAUUAUCUACUUAAUAAAUAAGAGGAACUGCUUUGUGUUUUCUAGCAUUGUGACUUACAACUUCGUAGCAAUGCAUAUUCUUGACUCUUGCAUGCACUUCAAUCCUUCGUAGCAUUAAUGAUGUGGCCAAGUCAUCAUGAGCAUCAUACUUAUUUCUUUGUGAAUGUAAAUCAAAAUUAUAAGAGAGAAAAUGGUGCUUUUGUACUACAGAUUACUAUAAAUAAAAAACUUUUAUGGUUUUCAGAUUGUGCUGGUUGAUUGAUUUGCUCUACCAUUAAUUAUGACGAAACGUAGUUUUUUUUUUUCUCUUUUUUAAUCCGUAAAAAUAAAAAAAAUAAAAAAAUAAAUUUAUAAUAAUUCACACUUUAUUUAAUUAAUCGAAAUAAAUUCCAUAAUAGAUGAUACAUAGUUUGACAUACUAUUGUUAAGCUUAAGAUUAAAGAUCGACCCUAUGUUGCAACUAAACUUUCUACAAUCAAUUUUAUAAAUUGGAUUGGUGCAUGUAAGUCUAGCUAGCUAGAGGCAGAAGAACAGUACUAGAGUAGUAGAUGGAAGCCACUCUCCACGCACCUCAAAUAACUCGCAAUUAAACUUGAGCAUAACAUCAAUAGCGACUUAAGUUAAUUUCAAUUAUGGGCUCUAUUUGAACAAAUUUCUCUAUAAAUAUUUCCAGAAGAAAAUAUUAAGAAAACAAUAAAUUGAACUUCUCAUUUAAGUUAAAAUAAACAUAUUUGUAUAUUUUUUAUAUAAAAACUCUCAUUUAACUUCUCUUAAAAAUAUUGAAGUAUAUAAAUUAAUUUUAGCUUAUGAAAAAAAAAAUCAACUUAUUUUAAUUUUCUAUUCUUAAAAAGCCAUAGUUAUAGUUAAUGUGUACAAAGACCAGUUCCUACGAGAGUUGCUGUAUCCUCCUAAACCAAAUAUCCGAAUACUCCUACUCAGUAAGAAUAUUUUGAUAUCUGUUAAUAAUUUUAUAAUAAAUUAUUUAUUUAAUUUGACAUUUUAAUAUUUAAUUUCUUUCCAAGUUUACCCCUUUUCCAUAUGACCAGUCAACUUAUCCUCUUCAUUCGACUUUAAAAAGAGUGGGUGGUGGUGCGGUGAAGCUGAAAACCACACACAAUGAUGGUGGUGGAGAAUGUGAAAAUGGUUGUGGUCGGAGAAGGAGGUACAAGGGACAAAGUUAACUGAGGAAAAAAAAAACUCAGCGUGAGAGAGGGUCUUUUGAAAAAAAGGACAAAUUUGGAAAGGAGAAAAAAAGUUAAAAAGUGUGUUAACAAGUGUGAAUGCUUAGGUGAUUCAGUUACUUUUUCGCCACAUAUGAUCGGAGGAAUAAACAUUUCUCUUUUUCAUAUUACUAUUUUUGUAUGUUUGUCUACACGUACAUGUGGACGGUUAUUUGUAUCAAGUAUCAACUACAUAUGGGUGUCAAAAUUUAAAACUGAACCGAAUUUAAUGAAUUGAUUCAACAACUCUAAUAUAUAUGUGAUGUGAUUUGAAUUUUAAUAAUUUGCGUACGAUUUUAAUUUAAUUUUGAACCUACUUCAGUACAAAAAUUUACGUAUAAUCUUACUACAAGUACUUAAGUCACCACAAUCAUCUACACUCACAUCUUGAAAAAGUGACAUUGAUAGCAAAUUCAUGAAGUACUCACAGCUAACGUCAUUUGAUGGUUGAAUGAACCCCUCAGCUACCCAUAGCUGAAUGAGUGUUCUCUUAUCAAACUCAAAACCUUUUGGAAACAAUGAACAAUAAGCAAAACAGUUUUCCAAAAAUGAAGGAAGAUGGUCAAAACUCAGUUUAAGGAUUGCAAAGAUUUUGUCCUUCUCUUGAUCUAUCUUUGAAAACCCAACUUCCUUAGAGGCUAUUACUAUGCGCACCCAGCAUAAUUACUGGUACAUCCAGCAUAACAGCAUAAUUCCCGUUUUGUCCUUUCCUAAAAUUGAUACAAAUUGUCAAUUCAUAUAAGAUUUACGGAUUGUCCAAUCUGUAAGUAGCCCAAAUAUUUUUUUAAUUUUUUUUUUAAAAAAAUAUGUUUUAUGAAUUAAUUUAAAAUUAAUGAUUCAUGCAAGAAUCAAACUUAUAACUUUCACGUUAUUAACACGACAUUCUAACCAAUCUCAAUAUUCUUGUCAACCCUUUUAAGUUAUUUUCUUUAUGUUAGUUUUUAACCGAUGUUGAAAGUGCCGAUGUUGAAUGUAUUAUCGUUAACAUCGGUUUUAAAAAAACUGAUGUUAACGUUAAUUUUACAACAUCGUUUAUUUAAAUAACCAAUGUUGAUAAUAAGAAUUACACCCAAAAAAAUGUAUUAAUGUUGAUAGUUAACAUCGGUUUUUUGGAAAAAUCGAUGUUAACGUAACUUAACAUCGGUUUUUUUAUAUAAAAUUGAUGUUAACGUAUGUGUUAAUGUUGACAGUUAACAUCGGUUUUUUGGAAAAACCAAUGUUAACGUAACUUAACAUCGGUUUUUUUACAGAAAACCGAUGUUAACGUAUGUGUUAAUGUUGACAGUUAACAUCGAUUUUCUGUAAAAAAAAAGAAAACCGAUUUUAACGUACGUUAACAUCAGUUUUUUCCAAAAACCCGAUGUUAACGUAUGUGUUAAUGUUGACAAUUAACAUCGGUUUUUCCAAAUAAUCGAUGUUGUUUUCAGGAUUUUUUUUUAAAUAUUCUCUCUGUUUUUACAAAAAAAACCAAAAUUUAACCUGUAAAUUUAAAAUUAGACCACACAGCAUAUAUGAUUUGCAUUUUGCUUUCAAAUAGGUUUUAGCAGAAAACUAGCUAGUAAACUAUUAAAAUGAAACAUCAAUUGUAAAAAAUGUAAUGCAAAGUACGGUAAACUAAUUAAGUAACCUAAAGUUACAUAGUUCCCUAACAUCCUAUGUUUGAUUUCUAACUUUUAGAUAAUAUUGUGCCCACUGCAUGUGAAGCGCCUUGAAUCUCUCUGCUUCCAAUGAUCUAACAUCAUUAAAAUACUGGAUGAUCAAAUAAAAGAUAAAUUAAUGAUGUAAUAACAAUGAUAAGAAAAUCAACUUUGUUUGAAAUAAACAAUUACCGUUUCUCAAUUAUUCCUGAAAGUUCCUGAGAUUAUCGUGGACAUCUAGUGCAUGACGUAAUAGCUGUACUCAGUGUUUCGUUUUUGUCUAUUACACUAAAUACAUAAUGAAAUUUGGAUAUUAAUUAAGCGUUAACUACAAUUAGUGUACACACACAUAAGCAGUAUAUAUAAUUAGAAGUUUAAUUUAAAUCACGUACCUUAACAACAAUCCACCUAGCCGCAGCCUUGGAUUUAGGUUGUGGAGUAUCAUCAAGUCCUUUCAAAGCACUAUUGAAUACGAGGAACAUUAAAAUAUUGAUGUUGUUGAGUUAUGCUAAUGCAAAUAUAUUGAAAACAACAUUGACCUGUUAAUUAUUCCCUUAAGGUAGUUGUCUGGCCUGUUAUGUAAAGAACAAAACCAGACAACUAGGUUUUCCUUAGGCAAAAUGACGACCAUUUGCCAGUGUCCGCUGCAGUGGAGACGAAUAUGGGCUAUUGUAAUAGUAUAGAUUAUUUAAAUUCAGUUGUUGUGUUUGACUUACCAAUUCAGGUAAGCUCCAAGGUAAACAUCGCGUUUUGAACCCUGCAUCCAACUCUUGAUGUAACUUUUCGAUUCAAAUUGUGAUUGCCCAAAUCUCUGAAUGGACUGUGGCUCGAGAAAUCCAUACACAUCGGAAUUCCCCGCUCACAUACUUGUCUCAGUCAGAUGCCUGUGUUGUUAAGACAAAGUUAAUUAUGUAUGAAUUUAAAACAAUUACUUUGUUAAUUAACAGUAAUCUAAAUUGACUUACAAAAUUCACAACUGUAUAACAGAGAUGCUGAGACAUUGACCACCGUGUGCUAUUUCAUACAGAUCUUCAUGCUUUAUGUACAAGGGAAAGUCUGAAUUAAACAGCCCGAACAGGGAAGCAUCCCACAUAACCUUGAGAGGCUUCAAAAACAAUUGUGGGAUGGUCAAUGUCAUCAGAUGCAGAGGAUCAUCGACCUCACGAUCCGGGCUUUUUGGAGGUUUUGCUAGAGACACAACUGCCUGUUAAUCAAACAUAGUUAAUUAACAAGUUUUGAUUACAGUGAACAAAUCAAUUGAAAAAAAGAAACAUAUAAUCAGAGUAAAAUACCUGUUCUGAUAAACGUUUCACGAGAUGUAUCGGCCAAGCAAGGAAGGUGUUAAGUGUCUGCCCCACUAAGGUAACCUUGUCAAUGGGUACAGGAACGGGAGUCUCUGCAUCUUUAACCUCCUCAACACCAACCUUCACUUGGCCAUGCAACAAAGGGAUGUUAUGAACCACUGUGGAUCCCUCAUAAAGUCUUCCUAGGGCAACCAAGUAGGAAGGAUUUUCUUCAAUUUACAGCCCGCAUUUGUCUGAGUCAUCCGUCUCUGGAUCGUUCCCUGAGGAAUCAACACAACUCUUCUUUGUGCUGACACGAGCACUUGAGGGACCAACCUUUGGCUCCGGAGGCAGUGUAAAUCCCUGUGAUUGCAUCUGAGACUGAAACUGGGACUGCAUUUGGCUGAAGGAUGCCAUCACCUGCUGAGUAACUUUUUCUGUGAUCGACUCCUCCAGCUAGUCCCUGAUUUGUUGGGUUAACUGUUGUAGGUCUUCAGGAGGCAUAGAGGAAGAACUACGGGACAUUCGUGUAGCCAAUCCGAAAUAUUGCUUUAUGGUCACAUCAGCUCCAGCAGCACGGACACGGCCAGGGUGCUCUGAUCGCCCAAUGACAACAGUCAGGACAUCCUGACGUCUAUGGGGGACGAACGAUCCCUGUGACGCCUGCUCCUCCAAAGAAUCCUGUACAUAACACAUAUAUCUGUCCAAGGCAUUCACAAAAUACACAAAGAUAAUUACAAUUCUUAAUUGAAAAUGACUUACAAUCUUCUCAGUUAUUUCCUUUGUUGCCUCAGACGUCAUCGGCCCAGUUUUCUUUGUGUAGACCAUUUUUCACUUCAUGUGGCGUCUGAUGGGAGAUGGAGGGUCAAUGACGCCCUCAGUGCUUUCGGAUUGGGCAGCUUCCUCCAGUCUUUUCUUUGUCUUCUCAGCCAUAAGCUUUUGUUCUAAAUAUUCAUAACCCCCACGAAACAACACGUGGGGGGCAGUGUUUUGCUUCUGGAUGACUUGUGUUUUUUUCCGCACAUCCUGCAAAAAUCGAACAUUAAUGAAAAUGAUUACUACAAUGAAUUAUAAGAAGUUAUUUUUUUUGUGGAAAACAACUAAAAUGACAAACUACAUACCUCCCACGAGGGGUCUCUGCGGGUCUGACAAAACUUGGCCCAUUUCUCCUUGCUAAUGUCGCAUUUUUCACAGACAGUGUCGUCCACACCGUCCUUGUCGGCUGCAAGUGCCCAUUUCCUGGUCAAGUCAGAUUUAAACUGCCUCCACGGCUUGUCGACAGUCUGAAGAAUUUUCUUCUUUGUCCUACUGUUAGAAGCUUCAGGGAUUUCAGAUGUUAAGAUCAAGUAGUUAACAUCGGUUUUGACAUCGGUUUUGAAAAAACCGAUGUUAACUAACUCGACUUAUUUACAAAAAUGUCAUCGUGCUUUUCUUAACAUUGGUUUUUUAAAAAAUCGAUGUUAAUCGUGCGAUGUUAAAUCUAUAUUUUGUAGUAGUGUUUAGGUAUCUCAUAAAUUAGUCAAUUUUAUUUUGAGUUCUUAAAUUUUUUUCUUUUUAUUUGAUCCUUGAUAUUUUAUUUUUGAGUUCAUGCCGUUAAAAAUUUUAAAAUGCAAUUUUUUACUACUAAAAAUAAUAACAAUGUAAAUUUAUUUAAAAUAUUAAAUUACCAUUUAUGGCAAUUCAAUUGGAAAAAAUGAAGUAGAUAUGAUCAAAUAAAACCUUACAGACAAGACGAAGUCUAAGGUGGUCAAGUGAGUUAGGUGAUUUCUGGUGGUCAAAUAAUUUUUUGCCAAUAGAUUUAUUAAUAAAAUAUUAAACCAUUCAGAUGAAAUCUUUUUGUCAGUUUUUAACAAUUAAAAUUAUUUCCUCCCUUGUCUGUCGUGCACCACCAUUGGCAACACGUCACUACCUUGCUUUACUUUCCACUCUUCUUCUUUCCCUCUAUUUCCCUUCGUACUUUGACACCUCCGUAACCUCACUGUCAUGUUGUUGAAUUCACAUCCUUGAUUUUAAUUAUGACAAACCAUUAGCAAAACAAAUUGAAAGGAUGAUGGGUUUAAGUGAUGGCUAACAUUUCUCCCAAGCGUUUUAGUGUUUAUUCCUUAAGAAGCAUAAGUGUUCUUUCAUUCUGAUGUACUUAGAAUGAUGCUUAGAAAGGUUCGAAGAAUUGUUGUGAGAGUUGAAAACUUAGAAGAAUCCUUAAAGCCCAUCAAAAUGAUGAAAUUUGCUUCCCUUUGAAUACUUAGUUCUUGGCAAGAUACUGAACAACCUUACAUAAAAGAUUCAUCAAAAGAUUCAUCAAAGGCUACCAGAAGAACAUCUUGGUUUAGAAUGAAGUUAUGCAGAGUCUACAUAGAAUGACAAACACCUUGACUCUGAGUUUCUAAACAUCAGAAUGAUUCAGAAAGACUCAUAAUGCAUCACUUAAACAAUAUUAGAAGAUUAAAGUUUCACAUUUCUUCACUUUGCAUAUGCCACCACAAUCACUGUAGGCACGUUAGAAAGUAAGAAUUGACUGCAUAAAAAGAUGUAAAAUUGUUGAAUGAUGAAGUUGUCCAUGAGAAGCAUUAAUGUAAACCAUCAGAUUGAAGGACUAAAGAAAACUACUCAGCCUGACCAUAGACAAAACACUAACACACCAACAACUCAAUUUCUACUAAGUCUUUCUAAAGUAAAUCAACUUAAGAAUGUUUCAAAGUUGUGAACAAGUGUUAAGAGUGAUGAAGUUGUACGACUUCGGAUUGAAAUUUCUAUCUAAACUUCGUCAAAGGAAUUCAUUAAGCAUGGACUCAUUCUUUACAAACAUCAUAAUGACUAUUGUGAUGGUUCUUCAGAAUCCGCAUAAAAAAAGUUCCUCAGAAUGGUAAUCUCCAAAUGGUUUUGUCUACUGUCACUUCAUGAUAGUUAUAAGGUGAACCUACUUGCUCCAGAAAUGUUUCAGUUGUGUGGAGCCCACUACAAUGAUUUUCUUGGGAGCUUUAUAAGGAAUUUUAGAAGGCUAUGAAGAACAAGUUGAAGCAUUCCAAAUUUGUAUCACAUUGUGCAAGUCCUUUGAGUAAGAAAUUUGUGUUUUAGCUUCAACCCUCUCUGUUAGAGUGACCCACUUUUGUAUUGUGCUUUCAAAGCUUGUAAUAACCUUAGAUAGAAAUGAGAGAUUAAGUUCUUGAGUGGAAUCCCUCAUGUGAGGUGAAAAUCUUUAGCAUGUGUCGUAAAACCAUAGAUAUUUUUUUUUUAUGUAAAGUCCAAUAGUGACUAGCAAAGGUGAAAUCCAGUGGUGCAGCUGGUCUAGUAGAAGAUUGAAGUCUAGUAAGGAAUUGACAAGGUUGUGAAACCCAAUGGUUGUUGGUCCAGUUGUGAAUUGGUUGUGUUACUGAAAUAACAUCUUUAAGGGUGAGGAUUGGACGUAGCCCAAGGUUGGGGUGAACCAGUAUAAAAACCUUUGUGCACUUUCUUCUCUUUCUCUAUAUUUUGUUCUUGCACAAAUCUAAAACUACUUUUGUAUAAAAUACUAAAUUUGUUAACUUUUUAUCUUAACAACUAAACUAAGUUUUGUUUUAUCAAGAGGUAUUAGUAAAGAACUAUCUUUAAAACAAAAGUCUUAAAACUGCAAAAGAACUAUUUUUUUGAAUGGUUUGCAUUUUCAUUCUGAGUUGCUUGAAUUUCCAUUCUAAGCUCAUAACAGUUUUUAUAUUCUGAACUACCAUAAAAAAAACCUUUUUGUUUUCAAAGGAAGAUUAAAAGUUUUCAAAACCCCAAUUAAACCCCCAUUUUUGGUAUUUUUCUCACUUCAAUUAGCAUCAAAGUUUAAAUGAGUUAUUCACGAGCCCUUAAUGUCAAGCUUUCAAAGCUUGAGUUUGACUCAUUUAAAUAAUCAAGCUUAAUCUCAAGCUUAAAUUUGUUUGUUUAAUUAAACAAAUGAACUUAAAUGAUUAAUUAACAAGUUGAACUUGAAUAGUUCACAAAUAGUUUGUCUUAUUCACAUCCCUAACUCUUCAUUUUUUUAUCCAUAGGAAUUGAAUAAGAUAUAAAAAAAUUUAGAACACUCAGACACCCUGCUUAAUCAACUAAGUUAGACACCUUUAGUCCCUAACUCUUCAUAUGGUUAUAAUCAUAUUCUAGUAACAAUAUGUUUCAUUUCACUACCUUACUAAAUUACAGGACUGACUUCAUUAUUUUGCAACACCCUUUACAUCACAUCAUUCAUUCAUAAAAUUUGCAUUAGUUAAAUAAAAUUAUUCAUCAUCAACAACUAUGUAAUGUAUACCACCAUGCAAUCAAAGGAUAAGCAAUUAAGAAAAUAUUUAAGCUUAUAUAAUCCAAGUAGCAUGAUUGCCUUAAUUGGUACAUAAUGCAAGGCAUAAAAACCAAAAAGUGGCAGUAUGUGUAAUAACAAAAUGAAACAAAGGAAGGAGAAAAAAUUAUUUGUGUGUUACAAAUAAAGAGGAGGAAGAAGGAAUAAUUUAAAAAUAACUCCAUAUAUUAUUUGUUCUAUUAUUUUAUCCAAUGAAUUGUGAAGAAAAUAGAUGCAUUAGUAACUAAUUAUCUAUAAAAUUAUAUGAAUUGGUCCAAUAUAUUAUUUAUUUAUUUUGUAAUUGAAGAAUUUUCUCAUGAUUAACUUAGAUGAAUAAUGAAUAAGUUAAUUAUUUUGUUGCUCCUAAUUUAACCUGGUGUGUCUAUAACUCAUGGUUCAGGUUGACCCAUUCUCUUAAUCUAACUUUGUUUGUUCAUUGAGUUGCUCUUUAAUAUGGGUGGGCUUAUUAUCAACAUGGCCAGUAAUAAUGGGAAUUGAAUCAUGCACUCUCAUAAGUGUAUCCUAGAUCCCACUAUUCCGUUUGAAAUUAUUUGAUUGCCUUUAAUCAAUUAGCACUAUCUUCCCCAACCCAUUCGCGAUGUCUCCCUCCUACGAAGGUUGCUCCCUUCCUCCUUCGUCUCAAACCUGCAUAUCCUCGUUCCCUUCCUUCUUCGUCAUUGAAGGCAAGCUUCUUCCUUUCUGGUGGGGUUGGGGUUGGGUUCUGGUAGGGAUGGGUUUUGGGGGUGGCUUCUGGUAGGGGUGGUUUCCGGUGUGGAUGGGGUCGCAUUUCAAAAUGCUCAUUCUGUAACCAAAAAAUGCUUUCGGAAUGAGCUUUCCAUAAGCAAAAAAAGCUUCAAUUUUUCAUAAGCCAAAAAAACAUUCAGAAUAGUUGUUCUGGAAGUACUUUAGCUUAAGCAACGACUAUUCCAUAAGCAAAUUUGUAAAUCCAAAACAUCCUGUCUAGAAGUGUAUUUUAUAUAUUUUGUAAGGGGGGUUCCAAAAAUUAGUAUUGGGCUUACAAAAAGCCCAUUAUGGAAGCAACAUCUGCAAUCCAAAGUAGCCUUUCCAAAAGUGUAUUUUGCAUCUUUCAAAAAGUACGAUUUUGGCUUAUGGAAUGACCAUUUCGAAAACAAAAUUGCAAUCCAUAAUAGUUUUUUGGGAGUACAUUUUGUACCUUCCAAAUGUUCAUUUGAGACAACAAUAUUUUUACUUACGAAAUAGGUGUUCCAUAAGAUUUUUCCUUCUGAAAUGGUCAUUCCAUAAGUGAAUUUAUCCCUUACGGAAAGCCUAUUUCGGAAACAAGUUUACAACAUGAACGUGAAUGCACGUUAAAAUGUACCUGCAAAGUGGAGAGUUAGAGAAGGAGAGGGACUUUUGCGGUGUUGAGUUGGACUUGCUUUGUACCUUCAAUGGUUGCGAGAAAAAGAGUUGGAGAAGAUAAGAAGAACUGGAAAAGGGGUUUAGACUUGCGCUAUAGGAAGAGAAGAACGAGAAUGGGCUGCAACUACGAGAGAAAGAAGGGAAACCGAGGAUGAGGAUAGAAAGGGUAGGUUGGGGUUUAUUAAAAAAUGGGAGAUGCAUGAUACAUUUAGGGAGGUGCAGAAUUCCAGUAAUGACCAACUCAAGUCCAAUUAAUGGUGACAUCAUAAGUUAAUGACUUAGUGUCACUUUUGAUCCAUUAUGUUUCGCAAUUAUUUUGUUUUAAUACAUUGAGUUUAAAAUGUUUCAUUCCAAUCCUUUAUGUUUUUGAAAUAUAUUGUUUUGACUCUUUUUCUAAUUUUCUAUUUGAAAUGUUAGUUUUUUGUUAAUAUUUAAAUUUCAAAAUAAUUAAUUUAUGACAGUGGUGAUUAAAAAUCGUCACAAUAUUUAAAUUAAUUAUCUUAUUAUAAAUAUAAUUAUUUAAACAUUAAUUGUAGCAAUUUUUAAUUCCAACAAAUUUCUUAUUAAAUUUUUAUAAAUGAUUCUUCAUCCUUGAAGAUUCAAUCUUCAUUCCACAAAUCAACAAAUGCAGUUUACAAAUAGCAAGAACAAUUUUUAUUUGCAAGAAACAUAGAGAUGUUCACUCAAUAAUGAUAUAAAACUUGUUCUUUUUUACACAACAAAACACAAUGAGCCCUUUUUUUUUUUAUCACAUAUGACGAAAGCAACAGCUCCAGGGUCAUUAAUUAGCUUUGCAAACGGGAUCUGAUAAUCACAACCGUGGUUGAUAAUCCUCCAAUGUAAUUUGUGUUUAUAAAUUUUAUUUUUUACUCCUUUAUAUACUAUUCAUUUUCUAAAAAAGAUUACUCAUGUAUGUAACUAAAGAUUAUAUUUUUUGUUUCUGUUUAAAAAAAUGUUUUCUUAUGUUAAUUUUUUUUCUUAAUCGAUGCUUUAAUGAUAUAAGUAAUUAACUAUUUGCUCCUGCAAUGUAGUUUAAGUGUUAUGCUACAUUGUUAGUUUUUAUAUAUGCAUGUGGGAAGGUUCACUUGGAACAAGUUGCAGUGCAAACUUGGAGUCUAAUAUACAUAUAACCAUUAAUGGAAGCCUUCAUUCCAAUAGACAAUAUAUAUAAGUUGUUUCGUGCUUAUAAAAUUGUAAUGUUUUUUGUAAAGGAUGUUUAAGUGUGUCAAAUAUGUUAUAGCAAGGCAAGGUACGUAGCAGUAAACUUUAAAUGAUGAGUCAAGCAUUUCCAGUAAAUCUACUCUAAUUGCAUGUUUACAUUGAAAUUUUAAAGUAUUAUUCAUUUUAUGUUAGUAGUCCUACAGCUGGCUACUAGCUAGCAUGAAUGUUUAUGUUGUUAUUUUGUGGAGAAAGUCAAAUAAUUGUUUUAGGUGAUUAAUUUCACGCAUUUAGAUAUGGAUGCUGAAAAUUCUUAAGUCAGACUUUGAAUUGUUUCAUGUUCAUAUUAAUAUUCAUAUAAAGAGAUAAACAAAUAUGUAACUUAGCUCUAUUUUUGUUUUGGUGAAUUAGCUCUAUUUAUUAUAGUCUAAUAAUAAUGGCUGCAUGUUGGACUAAAUAGCAGAAAUAUACUUUGCGGAGAUCAUUAAUUGUGAUCAAAAUUGUGGCAUUUUUUUAUUACCACUCAUAAAAUUAUCACCAUGAAAACCCUACUAAUUACGCAUUUAACGAUCCUCAAUUAUUUCAGUAAAAUAAAUUUUUGUCUACCUUAAUUUUUUUUUUCUGUAAAAUUCUCCUAUAGUUAAAUUUACAAUAGAAAUUUUCAAACGAUACUUUUUUUAAGUAAAUAAUUAAUUAAAUUUAUGCAAAAUAAUUAAAUUAGGUCAUAUCAAAUUUAAUAUGAAUUAGAUUAUUAUUUUAAUACUUAUUUACUUACAUAAAAAUAUUUAUUUUUUAAAAAAUAUAAUUAUUCACAUGAGAUUUAUAGCAAAUAAUUUUUUAACUUAAUAUUUUUAUAACUUAUUACAACUUUUUUAAACAUUAUACACCAUUGUUUUAUUUUUUGCAAUUUAUUUUUCUGUAGUUAAGGUACAACUUUGAUGAGGAAAAUGGACCAAUAUUAUAGAUAAAUCACAUUAGUCAAAAAAAUGUGAAUAAGAUGAUUUAUUAAAAAUCAUAUCACCAUUAAUUUAAUGUUUUAUAUAAAAGACAGGUUUGAUAAUGAGUUUAUAGUUUAGGAAAUUUAAAUUAAGUGAAGGGUAAAAUGUCAUGAAUAAGUUUGAAAAUUCAUAUCUUAUUUUUAGGUAUUGAGAGAAGGAUAAUGAAUUUUAAUGAUUUUAAUAUUGUUUAUUUGAAUUUGUGCAUUCGUUCAAUGAAUUUUAUUUUUCAAUAAAAAUAUCAAAUGUAGAAAAUAAAAUAAAAGAUUUUUUCUUUUUCACUAUUUUGAUUCUUAAUUUCAUAAAUAUUUUAAAUAAAUUUUAUAUUAAAAUUAAAAAUAUAAUAAAAAUAUUUGUUUUAAUCAAACGUGUUUUUAUUUUUUAUAUGAUUUUGAAAAGAAAUUAAAAGAGAGAAAAUACAAAAUUUUACUCACAAUAUAAAUUUUUUUCAUGAUAUAAAAAAAGAAAAUAGGAUUAAUAAAAUUUUGUAUGAUAAAAUAAUUAAUAGUAAAUUUAUUUAUUCUUUCUUUUACUUAUCAUUAUUUUAAAAAUAUAUAAAAUUUCAUCAAAAAUAAAUAUAUUGUAAUUCUUCCUCAAGUUAAAUGAUAUAUAAAGUUAUAUUUUCUUAACUCUAAUUUUUCUUUAUAUAUAUAUAUAUAUAUAUAUAUAUAUAUAUAUAUAUAUAUAUAUAUAUAUAUAUAUUUUGUUAAAUUUCCCUUUACUUCCAAAUAAAUAAUAAUUUUCAUUUUCCAAAACAAAAUUAGGUGAAGAGAUGAUUUGGAAAAAUAAGUAAAAUUUGAGAUAAUUAUUUUUAAUUAUAUAAAAAUUUCUAAACAAAAAUUGUAAAUGUUUAUCUGUCAUUAUUUUUCUGAAGUUUUAAAGUUAUUGUUUAAAAAAAAUUACACCUCCUACACAUAAUUUGUCCAGUGUGUCGCACAGAAACAUGUACUAGUGUAUGAAUAUAAGAAUAACACAUCCUUAUAUAAGUAAUUUGGUGUGAUCAUUUAUAUUUUCUUUUUCUUUUAUGUGAUUCUCAUCAUAUAAUAUAAACGGUAAUAUUAAUAUAUCGUUAGUUUGAGUAAAAUUAAGUUUAUUUUUUAAAAAUAAAAUCUAAGAUUCAAAUGUUAUAAAUAAAUAAAAAAUAUGAUUAAAAAAAAGCCAUCUAAUUUUUUUUGACAAAGGUUAAUGAUAAGUUUAAUCUGAGCAAUAACAUGACAGUAGAAGCAACCGACUGCAACUCGUCUACUUGAAUAUCUUCCUAAUAAUUGUUUCAACUUUCAAGCCUCGUGUGCUUUGACAUUUAUGCUCCAUAUCCUGAAAAUUUUGAUAAGAUAAGGGACCAAUCUAUACACAGUCCCAAGGAGAUUUGCAAGUAAGAAGAGAAAAAAAUAAAAUUCCAGACCCAUUGUUGGUGAAGGCGAAAUGUGUAGUGGGUUGUCAACGCAAUGCAAUGGUUCACAGUGUGCUGGUCUUAUUGAUGUUUUUUGGUUGCAGGUUCAAUGGUGGUUCUGAUGUAGAGAAGAAGAUGAAAGGGCCAAGGAGGAGAGAAUGGAACAGAGGAAGAAGAAGAGGGUAGAUGAGGAAAGAGAGAAAGAAAAAUCCAAAAAGAAAAUAAAAAUCCCAGCCAUUGAUUUUAAUUUUAAAAUAUCUAAUAAUUUCAAUUAGUUUCCCACUAUGCCAAUCUCGUAAAACUUUCGUCUGGCACCGUGCCUCGCUGUUGAAGGGUUCCCAUGCUAGCAUCUGCCAACACGAUCUGACAUUUCAACUAGGGGUGGGUAUAUCGGUCGGUUUAGUCCGUUUAAGAUCUGACAUGUGAAAUCAAUAUUUUAAGCUUAUUGGGUAAAUCUGGUUGUAAAAUAGAAAGAUUUUUUUUCUUUUUUUUAGAUUUAUAUUGGUUUCCUAAUCCGGUAAAUAAACGAAUUGGUCCGUGGGUUCAAUUAAUAAUUUAAAAAUAAAAAUAAAAAUAUAUUUUUAAUUAUUUGGUAGGUUCGCAAGCAAGAGAGGGGCAACACACGUCAACUGAAGAAGAGAAAGUAAUCUUGUGGAUCUCGUGACAGAAUGAGAGCUGGAGAAGGAGUGAGAGUUAAAAAGAAGAGACUGCCAAGUAUAAAGUCUCAACUCAAAUACUAAAUUUAUGUAAUUUUUAUUUUAAAAUUAAUUUUAUCUUAUUAGUAAAUCUGUGUAUAAAAUUCGUUAAAUUUGCAUACUUAACGAAUCAAACUCAAAUAUUAUUUAUAAUUAUAUGGAUUUAUAAAAAAAUAAAUUGAUAAUAUGCUCAAUCCACGAAAAUAACGGACCGUCCCCGCAAACCUGAAUAGUCAUCCCUAAUUUCAACGGAGUGGAAAGUGGGAAACCAUGAAACUUGCUACGUACUGUGAAAUUAAAAGGUCCGUACUAAUGUACGAAAUUAAUAAUCUUCUCCUCCCUUGUCGUCAUUUCUCACCUCAUCAUAUACAUAAUAAUACAUUAGUACUUUUUUAGGAGGACAGGCCAUAUAUAUUUUUAACACAUUUUUAAUAUUAUUUGUUGUUAAUUAGUUUUUUAAUAAAUUAUAAGUUAAGUUAAAAUUUAUUAAAUUUACAAAACUAUAAGAAAAAAACAUUAAAUAAGAUGUAGGAUCUACAAAAUUUAUAAUUUAUAAUAAAUUUUAACUAAUAAAUUUUAACUAACAAAUUUUCAGCAUUUUUCUAUUCUUUUAGACUACAAGUAUUGAUUAAGUUAAAACAACCAUGUGUUAAUGGUUCCUAUAGUAAUAUUAUUAGGAUAGAAUAUAAUUAUUUUUGGUACAAAAAUACAUGGGAUUUAGAUAAAAAAAAAUCCUGUUAAUUAAUGUUACAAGAUACAUUAUUUAAACAUUUAAAAAUUAACAUUACAUUUAGCAUUUCAAGUUUUCAACGGAGUAGAAAGUGGGAAACGAUGAAAUUUGCUACUCUUAAUUUAAAAGGUUCGUACUAUAAAUUAUAAUGAGAUUCGUCUUUACUUUCGCACCCUCUAUACAUUAUAGUAAUUUAAAGUGCAUGUGAUAUGGUAUGCGAAUAUUUCUACCUGUUGUUUAAAAUUUAUUUAGAAUAUAGUACGACACUGAAACAUUAUUAUCUCAUAAAAAAAAUUUAUAUAAUUAAAAAUAAAUUUAAUUUAAUACAUUGAUAAUAUAAUUUUUUUAUAUCAUCAAUUAAUUAAAAAUCAUUCUAAAUAUAAAUUUUAAAAUAACUAUUAUAAAAGUAAAAAAAAUUAAUAUACACAACAAUUCAUAAUUAGAUGACAUUGCGUUUUAAUUAAUUCAUUGAAAAUUAGUGCCUUUUAUAAUAAAUAAUCUAGAAGUGAUAUUUAAAGUGGUUUCUAAUUAGUUAUUAGUAUACAUUUUUACAGUAGCAUAGUUUUAAAAUUAAACUUCCAGUAUAUGUUUUUAUUUUCUAGAUAUACAUGCAGAUUAAAAAUAUAUUUUAAAACUAAAGGAGACUUUUUUGUUAUAUAAUAAUAAUAAUAAUAAUAAUAAUAAUAAUAAUAAUAAUAAUAUAAAGUGAGAGAUGGAAAUGUAUGAGGGGACGAUGUUCGAUUUAUUUUUAUGAUGGGAACAUAAUUUUUUAAAAUAAAAAAUAAUUAGAAAAUUUUAUUUAAAAUAUUUUUAUUAUUAAUAUAUCUCUUAUUAAAAUUAUAUAUAUAUAUAUAUAUAUAUAUAUGAGAUUGCUAGCAUACUCUAAUGUUAGAGUAUUUAAAUAACCUACAUCAAAUUAUUAGAAUAAAAAGCUUAACUAUUUAUUUUGUGAUAAUAAAUUUAUUUAAAAAAAUAUGAUAAUUUAAUAUUUAUAUUUUUAAAAUUCAUUUAUUUAUCUCUUCAACUCAUUCUCUCUCCUCUCUUUUUCUCUCACAUCAUUUAAUAUUUAUAUUUUCAAAAUUAAAAUUUAAAAUAUUUACCGAGAGAAUGAAUGAGGAAAAUAAAUAAAUGAGUUUUAAAAAUAUAAACAUUAAAUUAUCAUAUUAUUCUUAAAUAAAUUUAUUAUCACACAAUAAAUAGUUUAAUCUUUGAUCUAAAUAAUUUGGUGUAGGUUAAAUACUCUAACAUGAGAGAGUAAGUUAACAAAUCAUUUUAUGAAUGUACGUAUGGGAAGGAAGAAUGUAAUAGAAAACAAAAAAGAAAGAAAAAGAAGGAAAUUAAAAAUAAUAAAUGUAAUUAAUGAUUUAAGAAAAAAAUAAAAAUAUAGUAUACAAACGAGAAAAUAAUUACAGUCAGACUCAGAAACUGUCAUGAUAUUUAUUCAUCUCUAAGUAAAACAUAAUUUUAUUUUAUUUUAUUUUCCCCUCAGAAUUUUAAAAACUCAAGUGUCUCAUGUAUAGCCAAAAAAACCAUAGACGCAUGGUAGUUGGAGAGCCGAGAGCCUACAAUUAUUUCUGAGACAAAAGAUGGAAGAUAAAGUUUACAUAAUUGUUCUCUCUCCAAUUUCUAUUAUAAGAAAAAAAAUAAUUUCAUAUUAAUUAUAAAAUUAAUUAAUUUUAUUAAAUUAUGUUAAUUCCAAAUAAAAAUAAGUUUUUUAAAAAAAUUAUUUUUCAUUAAAACUUGAUAUCAAACAUAAAAAAAAAAUUAUCCUAUCAAAUGAAAGACAUUUAUUUAAAAAUAGUUUUAUUAAAUACGGUAAAGUUAAUUAACUUUUGUUUAUAUAAAAAAAAGCAAUUUUUUUGUUGCUUAUUAAAAAGACCAGUGGGAGUACUAAUUAAAACAAAACUAUGGCUGCUAUGUAACAUGGCACCAGAGAGUCUCAAUCCUUAGAGAAAUUAAAUACCAAACUUUGACAUUUCACAGAGUGAUGGUAGUAAUAAAUGACAAGGAAUGAGACCCAGCAUGGACCCAGUCCUUUGACCACUAUUAUUGUCCAGCUCAAUUGAAAUUUUUUUAUUAAGAGUUUAACUUAGUUGAAUAUGAUAAAUAAAUUAUUAUAAUUUUUUAAUAUUUAUUUUUAAUUUUUAUGAAUAAAAAACUAUUACAAUCUCAGUUCAUUUUCUUGGGACACGUAAUCAAGUUUAAUAACUAUUUCUCAUAGCUUAAAAAUUCAGUUAUGUCGAGUAUUUAUGUACAAAUUAGUUAGAACAAUAGGCGCGUAUAGUGGUCGCCCUCUAAGACAUAUAAUUGUGAAGAUCGAAGAGAAGCUUUAUACAAUUAUUAAUGAUAAAACUAUCAUUGUUAUAUAACAUGGGGCCAUAAAUGAGUGCAUGGAUUGAAUGAUGCAAAAUUGUUACAACUUAAUUAAUUAUCUUGAGUUUUAAUUUUAAAUAUAUAUUUGUGUUAAAUACUCCGGAAAGAGUUUUAUGUUCAUAAUUAUUAUAUUUAACUUGAACAAUAUUAACUCAACUGAUGAUGCAUAUAUAGUUUAUACAAAAAAUAUAUAUAUAACAUGGGACCUAGGCGAUGGCAAAACGGGUUGGAUCUAUUCGAUCAACCCAUUUUGGGCUUUUUUUUCGAAUUAGGUUGGAAUUUUCAAUCCUUCAACUGCUUUGCUAUGUUUUGAUCCGCUACAAAAUGGGUUGAGAGGAAAGUAGAACGGACCAACUCUCUAACCCGUUUUUUUUAUUAAGAAAUAAUUUUAGUAUUUAUUUUGAUAUUUUAUACUAAUAUUUAUUAAUUUUCAAUUAGCUUAUUUUUUGUCUAAAUAAAUUAUUAUUAAAAAUUUAAGGUAAUACAUUUAAUUUUUUAGUAAGUAUUUAUUAUUUAAUAUUUAUAAAAGAUAAAAUUAAUUAAAAUACAUUUAUAAUUUAUUUUUUUAGUUUUGACAUGACAAAAACGAAAUGAACUGAACACUUUGAAUCUAUAUAUAAAAUACGGGAUGAGAUGGGAUGGAUUGAUCCGUUUUUUAUGGAUUGAUCCCUUUUUGCUAGCCCUAAUGGGACCAAAGAGUCACUAUCCUUUAGAAAAAUUCACACCAAACUUUUGACAUUACAGGCAGGGACAAUGCGAGUAAUAAAUGGCAUAGAAUGAGACCCUAGUCCUCUGGCCACUAUAAAAAGGGAUGAUUGUGUGUGUUACAUGCAUCAGCCACCACCAUUGACUAGUAUCAUUAAGAUGGCUAAUUCCUACUUAUCCUUGCUUGUCUUGAUCCUUGUAGCUCUGCUCCUCACCCCUCAAGGGCUUGCUGAUGAAUCUGAUUCUUACUAUAAGCCACCAGUUUACAAGAAACCACCAGUGUACAAGCCCAAGCCCAAGCCACCCAUUCACAAGCCCAAGCCACCCGUUUACAAGCCCAAGCCACCCGUUUACAAGAAACCCCCUUAUGGUAAGUACCCACCAGUUCAAGACAACGAUCACUUCUAAACCAUGCAACAAGGCAUGUUAAUGUUAACUAUCUACUAAAAUAAAGAGGUUCAGUUAACCUACUACGUACGUUGCUCCUUUUAAUUCCUAAAUCGUAAUUUACAACUUUGUAGGGAUGAGACAUUCUUGGCUAGCUCUGCACUUCAAUCCUUUAUUUGUACAAUGCUAUGGCCAAGUCAAUACCAUGCAUCUUAUCUAUGUGUGUCAUUGAACGAAGUAGUUGCGUGAAAAUGAUGCUUGUACUAUGAAUAAAUAAUAAAAGAACUUUAUCAUUUCAAGAUUGUGCUGUUUAGUUUAUUUGCUGAACCACCGUUACUGACCAUAAAUAAUACACAUGCAGGUCUUGUUUAGGAUAAACUUAAUUAUCCGUAA
RNAcentral lists this long non-coding RNA (18914 nucleotides) under Glycine max (soybean). RNAcentral's name for it is "long non-coding RNA (GMAX_LNC002462)". The record is from RNAcentral. Lineage: Eukaryota; Viridiplantae; Streptophyta; Magnoliopsida; Fabales; Fabaceae.